Leopardus geoffroyi (Geoffroy's cat) is the source of this 304-nucleotide long non-coding RNA. RefSeq lists it as uncharacterized. The transcript is spliced from 3 exons. The record is from RefSeq and is a predicted model, not a curated record. NCBI's taxonomy places the organism in Eukaryota, Metazoa, Chordata, Mammalia, Carnivora, Felidae.
AGAAAGACAAAUAUCAUAUGACUUCACUCAUAGGAGGUCUUUGAGACACAAAACAGAUGAACAUAUAAUGGAAGGGAAACAAAAAUAAUAACAGGGAGGUGUACAAAAGAAGAGCACACAUAAAUAUGGAGAACAAACAUGGGGUUACUGGAGGGGUUGUGGGGGGGGAUGGACUAAAUGGGUAAGGGGCACUAAGGAAUCUACUCAUGAAAUAACUGUUGCACUAUACGGUAACUAAUUUGGAUGUAAAUUAAAAAAAAUUUAUUUGUGGAAACAAUAGCUGAAAGGUGCCCUAAUUGGGGGA